Molecule: ribosomal RNA, 497 nt
Filed under: uncultured bacterium
Lineage: Bacteria
Description: partial 16S ribosomal RNA
Rfam family: Bacterial small subunit ribosomal RNA
Source: RNAcentral
GAUGAACGCUGGCGGCGUGCCUAAUACAUGCAAGUCGAGCGAACAGACGAGUAGCUUGCUCCUCUGACGUUAGCGGCGGACGGGUGAGUAACACGUGGAUAACCUACCUCUAAGACUGGGAUAACUUCGGGAAACCGGAGCUAAUCCCGGCAAAUAUUUUGAACCGCAUGGUUCAUUAGUGAAAGACGUUUUUGUUGUCACUUAUAGGUGGAUCCGCGCCGCGUUAGCUAGUUGGUAAGGUAACGGCUUACCAAGGCGACGAUGCGUGGCCGACGUGAGAGGGUGAUCGGCCACACUGGAACUGAGACACGAUCCAGACUCCUACGGGAGGCAGCAGUAGGGAAUCGUCCGCAAAGGGCGAAAGCCUGACGGAGCAACGCCGCGUGAGUGAUGAAGGUCUUCGGAUCGUAAAACUCUGUUAUUAGGGAAGAACAAAUGUGUAAGUAACUAUGCACGUCUUGACGGUACCUAAUCAGAAAGCCACGGCUAACUACGUG